UCUUUCCCAGAGAAGUGUAACCUUGAUCCUUACCUGUCCAGCAUGGCUUUGGAUAAUGUAACACCCUGUAACACUCAUAUAUGAUUUCCACUUUUGCUUUAUUUGUGAUUCCUUACAGACCACUGAGUUUUAUGUUAGCCUCUGGCUUGUGCUACGGCUCUGGCAUAGGGAAUGUAUUGUAAGUGCUGUGACUGGAUCAUGAGCAGCAUUGUUUGCUAAAGGGUGUGUCACUGACUUCAUGAAGCAUUUCCUAAACUGCCGUUCAGGAAAAGAAAAACAUAUUUUAGAGAAUGAAGAGAAAAUGUUAUAAAGCGUUUAAAAAUAUAAAUAACAUCAUAUGAGGAAAUCUUUCUGAGGGAACAGGAUGGGCACGUAGGCGCUGAAACAGCCGGGCAGACGUUUCUGAGCAUAUGACUGACGAACGGUACAGUACGUUCGCUUACCGUCCGGAGACUCGUCAGAGUGGCAAGUUGGAGCUGUAGAAGAUAGAGAUGACUCAUGACUGGAGCUGUAUGUAAAUGAGGAACCUCUUCUCUUGCGUCCUAUGGUACCACUGAGGCUGCGUAAAGUUCACGGUGCCGUGACUCAUGUUUGUGCAUCUUGCUAGCAGAUAUAGCACAGCAUGACCAGUGCAGGUGACUGCAGAGAGCCAAAAGGUAUGAAAAGGUUGACAAACUUAGAAGGGAUUUGCCUUGCAUUAGAUAUGGUGUUUAAAAUCAGGAGGAUUUCGUUGAUUCCUGCACAGGUUUUGCUUGGGUAAGGACUUAGGAGCUGAAAUAAGAGAUGAAAAAAUAUCUACCUUGCUAGCCCAGAGCUCACAGAAGAGUGACUCUGUAAUUCUGUUCAGACAGAUGCAAGUAACUUCCCUCAAAUAAUUUCAGGGCCCAUAUCACUUUUUCUUGGUAUUCAGGAUGUUUCUUCUUACAUAUGAUUGUGUUCCUUUAUCUGUAGCUAUUAUCUGACGGAAACACUAUACAAAAUUUUUCUCAUCCAUGAUAGUCAACAUAAUUUGAUAAUGUUCAGUACAUUUAGUUUAUUUACUUUUGUCUCUUUUUUUCCCUUUCCUGAUUGAUUCAGACAUCCACCUGUGACAACCAGUCCUACCUAUUUUAACUCUGCGCUUGUUAGUAUUGCAGCUACAGAAUUAAUGUGUGCUUUAACUUCCAGAGAAGUCUGCAUUAUAUUUCCCAGGCAGGUGAUGCAUUGAUUCAACUCUCUUUUCUCACUGAGUUUAAAGGUCAGUCUUAUGAUGCUAAGAGUUCCUCCAUGAGUAAAGUCCUUCAUAUAUUUUAGCUUUUUUCAUCACCUGUUCUCUACAAGGUAAUGUCUGAUAAUUAUGCUCUUUUCAAUGGUGUAUAUUCUGUUCCAUUGAAGGUAGGACUUUUUUCUCAGCAGAAAGCUGACUCAUAAGGUAUGCUGCCUUCUAUCCUUAGAAAAAAGUGAGUCAUUAAUGGAUUUUUCAUUAUACAUUUAAGUACCAUAGACUGAAAUUUUGUCCUACCAGUUUAGCCCUGAGGCAGUUGUUUGGAAGUCUUUUUAAUUUAGUGUUUUAGUUAUGUCUCAGUGAGGCUCUGUGCAAUACAAUAGAUGCUGAACAAGGAGCUAUUUGAUAUUACAGGCUACGAGCAUUCCCAUUAUCUUCAGUAGUGCCAUGGCCUCACGCUUUGUGUGCUGUGUGCUUCCCUAGCUACAAACCCACAAAACUGUCUUUACACCUGUACCAUGAAACAUUCAGCAUCUAUUUUCACAAUCAAUUUACAGUUGUUUUUCCAGAGACGGGUGAAAGCUGAGAGGGGUGGGACAUAACUAAAACCAUAUGAAUCCCAUUGGUACUAUUGCAUUAAUAGAAAUAGUCCUUUUGUUUGGGCAACACUAAUUUGGUGAUCUUUCAGACACUCAGAGAAGAUUCACCAGUUCUCGCGGUGACUCGUGACAGAAAGCUAUUAUUUCUAUUUUAUAAACAAGGGCAUUAAGUUUGAUAGGGAGGCAAUGGAAGUAUUGUGGAUAGAAGCCAGGAGUCCUGGACAUUUUUUUUCCUAAUGCAACAAUAUUUUUCUUUCAAAGGUUUUGUUGUAUUUACAGGCACUGCUGUUUAACUUUGAGUGAUGUCAAUGUGAAUGAGCAUCUGGCAGAAUCUGUGUAGAGUUGCAAUAUAGUCUGCAAUUCACAGGAGGGUACCAGCUUUUGCCCAUCCUUUUUAUACUCUGUUAAACUAGCUCUGCAGGCUAUUUUGAGGGAGAAGGUCUGGCUCUCUAAUACUGACAGGAGCUGUUAUUUAAACCUGUAUGAUGCAAAUGCAAAAGGGAUGCUGUUAGGGUGGUUCUUUGUUCUCCACUACACAGAAGUGGAUAUGCUGCAAUGACAAGUUUGUAAAUCAUAGCUAGUUCCGUUCUCACACCACUCAAUAACAUUACAAUCUCUCUGUCAACUUCCUGAAGACCUUGGGAAGCUAUAAUUUGUGAUAAAAAUGGGAGUUGAAAUGUUACGUGCAUAUCAAAGCUGAAAAUUUGCGGCUGGCUGACCUUUUCAUUUUGAGCAAAUGCACUCAUUUCCUUUACGUUGCUUACUGUUUCCCUCUGGAUCUUGGCAUAAUAGGAAAUCCUCCAUGAUUGUUCUCCUUAAUCAGUGGCUCCAUUGUGCUGACUUCUGUUUCUUUCAGUGAGCAGGGCAGAGGAUCUCACCAUGCUCAUAAUGCGGCAUCGCUCUCUGUGCUGUCAAGCAUCAGUGCCCCAGAAACUCAGACAUUUCGGUGCAGCUGUCGUGGAUGAGAGAAUGCCACGAGUGGCGUGUGCUAAAUCCAGCGUGCUGUCAGAAUAAGGAAACAGCCCCCUGAUUUUCAGUUUAGAAAAAAAAAGAAAAAACAACACUCACUGGAUUUUACAGUGAUAUUUCUCAGUGUUUGUGAUUAGGCUGAGAUGAAUAAUGGAAAUGAAGAGUUUGUAAAUUUAGAUUUUGUUUCCUUUCCAUAUGCGGGGUAAUGUCAUUUCUUGUCAUGUCACUGCAAUGUUUGCAUAGUCAUCUGACAACUAUAAAGAAGGCAUAUGAAUCUUUAGGACAAAUAACUUCUCCAGAAUUAUCUACUUAAAUGUCUUCUAGUUAUGAAUAGCACAUUAUUUUUCAUUUUCUGAUGCAUUUAUCUUUGUCAUCCAGUCGAGGGACAGAAGUUCUGUGGUGCGACCGUACACCACAAACCACAGAUUGUAUACGCGCCUCUUGCUAAAGAUUAGGUAAGCAGUUAGAAGUAAAAGAUGCAUUGGAAUAGCUUAAAACAGUUGGUGAAAUAAAAGGAAGGGUAAAGUUGCCAAAAAAGGUUGUUUGUAUUGGUAACCUAUACUUCGUCAAGCAUAACGUAAACAAAAACAUAGUGACAGCCGGUGCUCAGGAAGAGCUGAUGGUUCACCAAGUCUUAUCUUUUGCUUCCUGUUGCAGCACAGUAAUGUUGACAUCAUGUUCCUGCACAUGCAGUAUGCAAAAAGAUCAGGGUUUGUAAUUCAGUGUUGGCACAAAUAAACAAUUUCUGCUUGUUGCUAUUGAUUUUCUGCUGUUCUGCUUUUCUUCAAUAAAGUUGAUGCCUGUGGGGAGCCAGGUAGUCAGUCAGUCUCUGCAGAUGUUUUGCUGUACAUCCAUUUUUUUCUUUCCUCUCUUAGUGCAUUCAAGCGCAGCUUGGAAUGAAAAACAGAGCGGUGUCUGGAGGACUCUAGUCAGUAGGUAAACCAUUCCUUAUGCAGAAAGUUCCCAGAGAAGAACGAGGGGGCUUGUACAGUUAACGACAAUGGAGUAACAACCCCAGGAUAUGGCUUCAUGCAUUUAUACCGGAGUCGAAUCUCUAGGGAAAUUAGGUUAGGGAAAUGAGGUUAGUGGCAGUGAUGAUGAUGAUAAUAAAUAAUGCAUACUCCCCUUGGAUCCUGGCUGACUAUCAAGACAGACUUCCUGAUGAUGAGAUGCAUAUGUCUGUCUCCAGUCUCUUCAAGGU
Molecule: long non-coding RNA, 3973 nt
Organism: Cuculus canorus (common cuckoo)
Lineage: Eukaryota; Metazoa; Chordata; Aves; Cuculiformes; Cuculidae
Exons: 4
Source: RefSeq, a predicted model, not a curated record